RNAcentral lists this ribosomal RNA (453 nucleotides) under uncultured Porphyromonadaceae bacterium. RNAcentral's name for it is "partial 16S ribosomal RNA". It matches the Rfam family "Bacterial small subunit ribosomal RNA", at positions 341 to 792 of the family's 1533-position model. Lineage: Bacteria; Pseudomonadati; Bacteroidota; Bacteroidia; Bacteroidales; Porphyromonadaceae. The record is from RNAcentral.
ACGGAAGGCAGCAGUGAGGAAUAUUGGUCAAUGGGCGGAAGCCUGAACCAGCCAAGUCGCGUGAAGGAUGAAGGUAUUAUGUAUUGUAAACUUCUUUAGACGUAGAGAAAUAAGGGGAUCGUGAUCCCUGAUGCUGGUAUACGUAGAAUAAGGAUCGGCUAACUCCGUGCCAGCAGCCGCGGUAAUACGGAGGAUCCGAGCGUUAUCCGGAUUUAUUGGGUUUAAAGGGUGCGCAGGCGGCUUUUUAAGUCAGUGGUUAAAUCGUGGAGCUUAACUCCAUCCCGCCAUUGAUACUGGAGAGCUUGAUUGCGGUUGAGGUUGGCGGAAUUCGCCGUGUAGCGGUGAAAUGCAUAGAUAUGGCGAAGAACUCCGAUUGCGUAGGCAGCUGACCAAGCCGUAAAUGACGCUCAUGCACGAAAGUGCGGGGAUCGAACAGGAUUAGAUACCCUGGUA